RNAcentral lists this transfer RNA (57 nucleotides) under Ovis aries (sheep). It matches the Rfam family "tRNA", at positions 8 to 63 of the family's 71-position model. Rfam says of the family: Transfer RNA (tRNA) molecules are approximately 80 nucleotides in length. Their secondary structure includes four short double-helical elements and three loops (D, anti-codon, and T loops). Lineage: Eukaryota; Metazoa; Chordata; Mammalia; Artiodactyla; Bovidae. The record is from Rfam by way of RNAcentral.
UAGCUCAGACGGUAAAGCAUCUGCCUGCAAUGCAGGAGACCAGGGUUCGACUCCUGG